UUUCUUCUCUUCAGCGUAUUUUAACACGUCCC
This 32-nucleotide non-coding RNA is filed under the name Geobacter sulfurreducens KN400. The record is from RNAcentral. Lineage: Bacteria; Pseudomonadati; Thermodesulfobacteriota; Desulfuromonadia; Geobacterales; Geobacteraceae.